CGAAAGCAGUGAUGCAGAGCAAAUCCCCAAAAGCAGUCUUAGUUCGGAUUGUAGGCUGCAACUCGCCUACAUGAAGUCGGAAUUGCUAGUAAUCGCGGAUCAGCAUGCCGCGGUGAAUACGUUCCCGGGCCUUGUACACACCGCCCGUCACACCAUGGGAGUCGGUAACACCCGAAGCCUGUAGUCUAACCGCAAGGAGGACGCAGUCGAAGGUGGGAUUGAUGACUGGGGUGAAGUCGUAACAAGGUACC
RNAcentral lists this ribosomal RNA (251 nucleotides) under uncultured bacterium. RNAcentral describes it as "partial 16S ribosomal RNA". It matches the Rfam family "Bacterial small subunit ribosomal RNA", at positions 1250 to 1500 of the family's 1533-position model. The record is from RNAcentral.